This 253-nucleotide ribosomal RNA is filed under the name uncultured bacterium. Its description in RNAcentral is "partial 16S ribosomal RNA". It matches the Rfam family "Bacterial small subunit ribosomal RNA", at positions 524 to 776 of the family's 1533-position model. The record is from RNAcentral.
UACAUGUGGGGCAAGCGUUGUUCGGAAUUACUGGGCAUAAAGGGUGCGUAGGUGGUUUGUUAAGUCACUGGUGAAAGUUUGCGGCCCAACCGUAAAAUUGCCUGUGAUACUGGCGAACUUGAGUGCGUGAGGGAUGGGGGGAACGAGCAGUGUAGCGGUGAAAUGCGUAGAUAUUGCUCGGAAGGCCGGAGCCGAAGGGGCCCCAUUGGUACGUAACUGACGCUGAGGCAUGAAAGCGUGGGGAGCAAACAGG